RNAcentral lists this ribosomal RNA (525 nucleotides) under Anguilla obscura (Pacific shortfinned eel). RNAcentral describes it as "partial 16S rRNA". It matches the Rfam family "Bacterial large subunit ribosomal RNA", at positions 1851 to 2553 of the family's 2925-position model. Lineage: Eukaryota; Metazoa; Chordata; Actinopteri; Anguilliformes; Anguillidae. The record is from RNAcentral.
GGUCCCGCCUGCCCUGUGACCACAAAGUUUAACGGCCGCGGUAUCCUGACCGUGCGAAGGUAGCGUAAUCAUUUGUCUUUUAAAUAGAGACCUGUAUGAAUGGCAUAACGAGGGUUUAACUGUCUCCCUCCCCUAGUCAAUGAAAUUGAUCUGCCCGUGCAGAAGCGGACAUAAAUACAUAAGACGAGAAGACCCUAUGGAGCUUUAGACAAAAGAUCAAACAUGUAAAGAAACCGAAUCAACCAAAAGGAACACAAAGGCCACAAAACCCAACGUAAAAUGAUCCAAAUGUCUUCGGUUGGGGCGACCAUGGGGGAAAGAAAAACCCCCACGAGGAACUAGGGGCAAUCCAUUAAGCCAAGAGAUACACCUCUAAGCAACAGAAAAUCUGACCAAAAAUGACCCAGGACACUAAUCCUGAUCAACGAACCAAGUUACCCUAGGGAUAACAGCGCAAUCCUUUCCCAGAGUCCAUAUCGACGAAAGGGUUUACGACCUCGAUGUUGGAUCAGGACAUCCUAAUGG